CUCCCAAGACGGGCCCUGCCAAUGCCAAUCUCUAAUAGGGCCCAAAGCACAGGCCUGGGAAGAUGCAAUUGGAUUUGAAGCCAAUCAAUCAUUCCAGCUAUUGACCUAUGAUUGGAUUUAGAAGACAUGUCAGGGCCGCUUUGAUUUUAGCUCGGGCCCAAUGAAGCUGGAUGUGAAGGUUUAUUGUUUCAGACGGACCGAGAGCUGUGUGUGGGCUUUGACACGCUGCCAGAAGAGAUGGAUGCGUACAAUGACUGCUGUAUCCAUCCAUCAGAGUUAGAAUCCGUCAUCUCAUCUUUCACAGGAGUGGCGUACAACAUCAUCCGCUGCUUUUGAGGUGGUGUAGCAUGACCUAGAUGAGGAGAACGACGGAGAAGAAGAGCUAUGGUAAUGCAAAGAGACCUUCAGCGUCUGUCCCUGUCGUUUCAAUUACAAGAGCGAGAUUAAUUUUCCAUUUGAGGACCUCUGAAAGAUGGCAACAUCUUCCCAAAAACAUUCCGCUGAUAAAUGAAAAGCAGCGGCACUCUAGAAAUAAUGACAUGAAUUACAGCACACUCUUGCUGCGGUAAUCGCAGAGUAGCUAUUGGAUAUAAAGACUGAUCAAUAUGCCCUCUGAAGGCCUGCAGAAGGACAAGCGAGGAAAGCCAGUCAGGCGACCGAAGACGAAACCUGAAUCGAGUGGACUGGCAAGUAGAUUGGUAAGACGCUGGAAAGUGGUGGAAAGGGAGGAUCAUGCAAGCCAGAUUUGAAUUCAUGUUCCUAAGAUCACUUUUACGACCCACUGCACCAACUUGCCUGAUCAGGAAUGGAUCAAAUGUGUGGUACUGCGGGCAGCUCAACCACAAGCCCACUCUGUGAGCCAAUCAAUGUGGAGAAGAAAGCAGAGCCGCCGCCUUUUGCCCAAUGACAAGUUGUGCGGCAGCGGCCAGUGCCAAGCUGAUAGGGAAUCGAUAAGACGCAAAACCUGACAUCAAUCCCAGAGAACCUGCAAGACGAUCAGAUGGGCACAGAGAUGAACAGACACUCCAUCGUGGUCUUAAUGGUCUUACUGGAGGUCAGUCAGUUUUAUCCUAGCUCAGCUUUCUGCAUUAAACAAUGUCCGUUCUAGCUCACCAUGGACCACUGAUGGGUUAUAUAUACUAAUGUACUAACGUUCUUUUGCCCAGAAAGGUCUGGUGCUUUCUAAAUGUCAAAGUCAAGAUUAGACGUCCUAAGCCUAAGAACUAGGCUGAAACGGAGUUAAAAUAGACAGUCUUGUCUGAGACCAAAGUAGAGAUCAUGUAUCAGACUAAGACUGUGUGAGACCCAAAUCCACUCUGAAGUCACAUUCAUGUGGACUUGAGAGGUCUUGUCCAGAGCAAUCUUGGCCUCUAAAGAGAUACGAACUUAAAAGUUGUGGUAUCCCUCACUUAGGGUUCCUCAGUGGUCAAAAAAGACUGAAAUAAAAGAAGGGAUAUUAUAUAUUUGGACAUUAUAAAAUACGUUUUUGGAGUUUUAUUGAUUUUACUCCCCAAAAAAUUGCUCUGUAUUUUUAUAUUUCUCAUUCAUUUCAUAUGGUGGUCAAUUUUGACAUCACAGGUGUAGCCAUUUUUUUAAGACCAUUUGGCCUAAUCAGGUUCACUGUUUUUAUUUUGUUCGUUUAGCAAGUGCCACAAAAGUGACUUUUUUGUACCAGUCCAAGAAAGUAAAAAAGUUACAAAUUCAAUUGUAAAUUUUAAUGAAGUGGGUUAAGAUUGUUGGUUCAGUCCCUCAAUUUAUUGCUCAUUGAAGCUGUUGAUGACAAGAGAAACAGCCCAGACUAAAUAUCACAAAUGCAUGACUUUGCAGGGAGAACAAUCAUGAUGGGCAUUUACUGUAAAUCCAAAUGAGUGUGCUAACAAAUGUUGCAUAAAUUAGUGAUGAACCGAAAUAAUCCCUUCGCACUGUGUGAGAGCCUUUGAAUUGCAUGGAAAGGGAAAACUAAAGUACCCACUGUUGGGACUGUUGACUGUUAUUUUAAAUCUCUACACCCCGUUGAAGCUUCAAAGCUGUAGAAGUCUUUGUAAAAGGGCAUUGACACUGAACACGCUGAGCAUUGCUUCUGAAAUUCUGUGUAACUUAGACCGACUUCUUCCAAACGGCCGUCAUAUUAAAGAAAGAGGGAGUGUAAACCCGAGUUUCCGCCUCCUCCUAUUCUCUUCCUUAUUUCCCAAUCUGUUAUGUCUUGACAUCUCCAUUAACUCAUAAAUCCAAUACAGUGGAGCUCAACAGAAUUUAUCUUCCACGAGUCUACAGGCGAGGUUGGGUAGAGGGAGCGUCAGGAGACCGGAGAGGAGGAGAGAGGGAUGGCAAAUGAUGAGAAGAUCAAUCGGUCCCUGGGCUGUCACUCCGCUCGCUCGUUUUCACAUCCAUCUCCACCCCUCCUCCCUCCCUCCCUCCGUCCGUCUGAGACUGACACCACCCCUCCUUUCUCUGGCAGGCCCGGCGGAUUCUGCAGGCGCGGCUGUUUGGGCCCGCAAUAAUCCGAUUGAGUGUGGGAUCAAUGACAAGCUGUGGUCAGCGAUCUGUAGUUGCUCCGGCUCCCAUUGCACGCUGACCACAGGAUCCCCAAACCGCUGACCGCCUAACCGGCAUGGCCUGACCACUAAUUUGGUCCGCUAUGCCAAGGCGCCCGGACAAGGUGGGCAAGUUAAACUGGCAUGUGAAAUCCUAAAAAUACAGCAAUUAUGGCUCCAAAUGUUAAAGGUUAGACAGGUUUCUAUAGCUCACAUGGUUCUAGUAACAGCAAGAUCUUGAGUUCACCUUAAAAUUAAUGCAAUUUGUCCAAUAUUUAUACUUGAAAUUAUGCCAGAAUUUACACUUGAAAGUUUCCCAACUAUUGACAACGUUUUGGACGGAAAGUGAUGAUGCCUUUUGUCUGAUAUUCGAGUGUACGAUAAAUCUGCAUCAUCGCCUCUUCAGAGUCUGUACUGUAAGUUGAUUUUAUGGAAACAUCUAUUAAAUAACUACUUAGU
Molecule: long non-coding RNA, 2993 nt
Organism: Cyprinus carpio (common carp)
Lineage: Eukaryota; Metazoa; Chordata; Actinopteri; Cypriniformes; Cyprinidae
Exons: 4
Source: RefSeq, a predicted model, not a curated record